UGGAUCUGCUUCAGAUGCUCUAUUGCUGUUGCAUGGAGGUGGUUCAGUUCUGCACGAAGAGACGCUACCGGACAAAAACCACCAGAGUUAAAAUGGAGAAUGAGGGUGAGAUGUUUUGUCAGCACUGAGGGCAUAAGCAUCAACGCACAGCAGCUCAAAUCGCAGCGUCUGCAGCUCCUGGUCUGACUGCUGUCUCAGGAUGUCUAAGGUCCUCCUGUGGGCCUCCUUCAGAGCAUGAACC
Long non-coding RNA from Micropterus salmoides (largemouth bass), 241 nucleotides. RefSeq lists it as uncharacterized. The record is from RefSeq and is a predicted model, not a curated record. The transcript is spliced from 3 exons. Lineage: Eukaryota; Metazoa; Chordata; Actinopteri; Centrarchiformes; Centrarchidae.